This 253-nucleotide ribosomal RNA is filed under the name uncultured bacterium. Its description in RNAcentral is "partial 16S ribosomal RNA". It matches the Rfam family "Bacterial small subunit ribosomal RNA", at positions 524 to 776 of the family's 1533-position model. The record is from RNAcentral. RNAcentral also lists the same sequence under 1 other name.
UACGAGGGGGGCAAGUGUUGUUCGGAAUUACUGGGCGUAAAGGGAGCGUAGGCGGAUGUUUAAGUCGGGAGUUUAAAACCGGGGCCCAACCCCGGAGCGGCUCCCGAAACUGGAUAUCUUGAAUAGGUCAGAGGCUAGUGGAAUUGGAGGUGUAGCGGUGGAAUGCGUAGAGAUCUCCAAGAACACCUAUUGCGAAGGCAGCUAGCUGGGACCAUAUUGACGCUGAGGCUCGAAAGCAUGGGGAGCAAACAGG